This 803-nucleotide ribosomal RNA is filed under the name Volutella salvadorae. Its description in RNAcentral is "partial large subunit ribosomal RNA". It matches the Rfam family "Eukaryotic large subunit ribosomal RNA", at positions 74 to 910 of the family's 3401-position model. The record is from RNAcentral. Lineage: Eukaryota; Fungi; Ascomycota; Sordariomycetes; Hypocreales; Nectriaceae.
AUUGCCCUAGUAACGGCGAGUGAAGCGGCAACAGCUCAAAUUUGAAAUCUGGCCCUCGGGUCCGAGUUGUAAUUUGUAGAGGAUGCUUUUGGUGCGGUACCUUCCGAGUUCCCUGGAACGGGACGCCAUAGAGGGUGAGAGCCCCGUCUGGUUGGAUACCAAUCCUCUGUAAAGCUCCUUCGACGAGUCGAGUAGUUUGGGAAUGCUGCUCUAAAUGGGAGGUAUAUGUCUUCUAAAGCUAAAUACCGGCCAGAGACCGAUAGCGCACAAGUAGAGUGAUCGAAAGAUGAAAAGCACUUUGAAAAGAGAGUUAAAAAGCACGUGAAAUUGUUGAAAGGGAAGCGCUUAUGACCAGACUUGGACUUGGUUGAUCAUCCGGCGUUCUCGCCGGUGCACUCUUCCGGUUCAGGCCAGCAUCAGUUUGCUUCGGGGGAUAAAGGCUUUGGGAAUGUGGCUCCCUCGGGAGUGUUAUAGCCCAUUGUGUAAUACCCUGGAGCGGACUGAGGUACGCGUUCUGCAAGGAUGCUGGCGUAAUGGUCAUCAGUGACCCGUCUUGAAACACGGACCAAGGAGUCGUCUUCGUAUGCGAGUGUUCGGGUGUAAAACCCCUACGCGUAAUGAAAGUGAACGCAGGUGAGAGCUUCGGCGCAUCAUCGACCGAUCCUGAUGUUCUCGGAUGGAUUUGAGUAAGAGCAUACGGGGCCGGACCCGAAAGAAGGUGAACUAUGCCUGUGUAGGGUGAAGCCAGAGGAAACUCUGGUGGAGGCUCGCAGCGGUUCUGACGUGCAAAUCGAUCGUCAAAC